This 72-nucleotide transfer RNA is filed under the name Camelus bactrianus (Bactrian camel). It matches the Rfam family "tRNA". From Rfam's summary of the family: Transfer RNA (tRNA) molecules are approximately 80 nucleotides in length. Their secondary structure includes four short double-helical elements and three loops (D, anti-codon, and T loops). RNAcentral also lists the same sequence under 3 other names. The record is from Rfam by way of RNAcentral. Lineage: Eukaryota; Metazoa; Chordata; Mammalia; Artiodactyla; Camelidae.
AGGUAUUUAGCUCAGUGGUAGAGCGCAUGCUUAGCAUGCAUGAGGUCCUGGAUUCAAUCCCCAGCAUCUCCA